RNAcentral lists this ribosomal RNA (501 nucleotides) under uncultured bacterium. RNAcentral's name for it is "bacterial SSU rRNA". It matches the Rfam family "Bacterial small subunit ribosomal RNA", at positions 32 to 508 of the family's 1533-position model. The record is from RNAcentral.
AAUCAACGCUGGCGGCGUGCCUAACACAUGCAAGUCGAACGCGAAAGUCCCGCAAGGGAUAAGUAGAGUGGCAAACGGGUGAGUAACACGUGGGUGACCUGCCUUCGAGUGGGGGAUAACGUCCCGAAAGGGACGCUAAUACCGCAUAACAUCCUGCCUUUGAAGAGGUGGAGAUCAAAGCUGGGGAUCGCAAGACCUAGCGCUGGAAGAGGGGCCCGCGUCUGAUUAGCUAGUUGGUGGGGUAAUGGCUCACCAAGGCAACGAUCAGUAUCCGGCCUGAGAGGGCGGACGGACACACUGGGACUGAGACACGGCCCAGACUCCUACGGGAGGCAGCAGUGGGGAAUUGUUCGCAAUGGGCGCAAGCCUGACGACGCAACGCCGCGUGGAGGAUGAAGACCUUCGGGUCGUAAACUCCUUUCGAUCGAGACGAACGGCUCCCGGACGAAUAAUCCGGGAGAGUGACGGUACCGAGAGAAGAAGCCCCGGCUAACUCCGUGC